This 449-nucleotide ribosomal RNA is filed under the name uncultured bacterium. RNAcentral's name for it is "partial 16S ribosomal RNA". It matches the Rfam family "Bacterial small subunit ribosomal RNA", at positions 29 to 523 of the family's 1533-position model. The record is from RNAcentral.
AACGAACGCUGGCGGCAUGCCUAACACAUGCAAGUCGAACGAGAUCUUCGGGUCUAGUGGCGCACGGGUGCGUAACGCGUGGGAAUCUGCCCUUUGGUUCGGAAUAACAGUUGGAAACGACUGCUAAUACCGGAUGAUGACGAAAGUCCAAAGAUUUAUCGCCAGAGGAUGAGCCCGCGUAGGAUUAGCUAGUUGGGGGGGUAAAGGCGCACCAAGGCGACAAUCCUUAGCUGGUCUGAGAGGAUGAUCAGCCACACUGGGACUGAGACACGGCCCAGACUCCUACGGGAGGCAGCAGUGGGGAAUAUUGGACAAUGGGCGAAAGCCUGAUCCAGCAAUGCCGCGUGAGUGAUGAAGGCCUUAGGGUUGUAAAGCUCUUUUACCCGGGAUGAUAAUGACAGUACCGGGAGAAUAAGCACCGGCUAACUCUGUGCCAGCCGCCGCCGUAA